AUGAGUCUGCGUCUGAUUAGCUAGAUGGUGGGGUAACGGCUUACCAUGGCGACGAUCAGUAGUCGGCCUGAGAGGGUGACCGGCCACAUUGGGACUGAGACACGGCCCAAACUCCUACGGGAGGCAGCAGUGGGGAAUCUUCCGCAAUGGGCGAAAGCCUGACGGAGCAACGCCGCGUGAUCGAAUGAAGGCCUUCGGGUUGUAAAGAUCUGUUGACAGGGACGAAUAAGCAAUGCGAAUAGUUUUGUGUAUGACGGUACCUGUUUAGAAAGCUCCGGCUAACUACGUGCCAGCAGCCGCGGUAAUACGUAGGGAGCAAGCGUUGUCCGGAAUUACUGGGCGUAAAGGGCGCGUAGGUGGGCGCUUAAGUCAGGUGUGAAAACUCCGGGCUCAACCUGGAGACUGCACUUGAAACUGGGUGUCUUGAGGGCAGGAGAGGAAAGUGGAAUUCCUAGUGUAGCGGUGAAAUGCGUAGAUAUUAGGAGGAACACCAGUGGCGAAGGCGACUUUCUGGACUGUACCUGACGCUGAGGCGCGAAAGCGUGGGUAGCGAACGGGAUUAGAUACCCCGGUAGUCCACGCCGUAAACGAUGAAUACUAGGUGUAGGAGGUAUCGACUCCUUCU
RNAcentral lists this ribosomal RNA (625 nucleotides) under uncultured bacterium. RNAcentral's name for it is "bacterial SSU rRNA". It matches the Rfam family "Bacterial small subunit ribosomal RNA", at positions 225 to 842 of the family's 1533-position model. The record is from RNAcentral.